AAAAAAAAAAGGGGGGGGGUUUAAGAGCAUUUGCAGUGUAAGACUUUGACCUACCAACUCCCCAGGAAAAACUGGUUGAACCACCUGUCUUUUCUGUAGUGGGGUCCUCUAGGUUGAAUAAAUUGUGAAUUUGAGUGCUAUAGGCUUUUAUUUUUUAAUACUCCCUUUUAGGUGUUGAGCAUUUGUUGAUCUAAUCCUUUUUUUGUUUUGUUUUUUUUGUUGUUGUUGAUGUUUAUUUUCCCCCCAGCUUUUCUUCUUUUUUUUUUUUUUUAUUUUCCCACUGUACAGCAAGGGGUGAUCUAAUCCUUAAUGUUGUCUCCUGAUUAGUAAGCAUGAUGUUUUUUCAUCAUUCAGAAAGUCUUUUGCUUAGCUUUACUCUAGUGCCAAAUACUGGUCUAUUUUGGCAGAAUGACAUAAUUAUCCAGAUUAAGGGGUGUGGAUCCAAUGUAUUCUCUCCACUCCAGUUCCCUACUUUCAAAAUAGAACCACUGACUGGUUUAACAAGUUGGGUUGGAGUUUCAAAAUACAGUUCCAGCGCUUGUGACUGAGCUCUCUCCCUUUCAGUCUGAUUCAUCUUAGAUUGGCGUCUGAAGAGCUAACAUUACCUAGGAAGCUGUGCUUCCUGUGUCUUCAGCCUUAAGUGUCACUGCUGCUUUAGGGCAGCCUAAACCUACCCCUCCCUCUCCUUGCUCCUUGGCCCCCCAGCAAUGUCCUCUGGCAACCCCUAACCAGCCUUCCCCAUGCCUUUCUUCCUCCACUAUUGCCUCAACCCCUUUUGAAGGUCCUUUUCCCCAGUUGUCCACUGGGACAGCCUCUCCCUCCACUGACACCCCUGUUUUCCUACCAAACUUAAUAGGGCCGCCCAUCUCCCCAGCUGCCUUAGCUCUGGCCUCUCCCAUGAUAAAUCCAACUCUGAAAGGUGUUCAUUCGGCUUCCGCUCCCUUGGCUCUGGUGGCCUUGGCUCCCCACUCAAUUCAGAAGAGCUCUGGCCAUUUACCUAAAACUUUUAGUUCACCUCCUUCAGUUCCUGUGGCUGAGUCAGGAUCAGUGACGUCUCUAUCGGCUCCAGUUGCUUCCUCAGAACUAAAGACCUCUGUUAUUCAAGCUCCCUCUCAAGAAGUCCCUAAUCCAAAAGGAACCCCCAGCCCUCCAGGUAUAGUCAGUGCCAGUCCUUCCCAUCUUGUAACUCCUUUGGCCUCUGUUCAGUCUGGAAUGGUUUCAUGUCCUCAGACACCACCUUCCACUCCCAUAGCCAUCCCGUCCCCUCAGGUUACAGGCAUCCCUAUUUCCUCAGCUCUCACUUCUCCAGAAAACCCUCUAAGCCUCAGCCUAAAGGGACCCCUUAGUCCACCUGCUGCCUUACCUCUUUCAACUCAGUCUAUUCCUAUGGUUCCUGAUGUCCCCCCCGUUUUCCUCACUUCUCUGGGCUCUCAUCUUGCACCUUUAUGUCAGAGUUCUCUUGUUUCUCAUGUCCAAGCUUUAGGUCAAACAGACCCUAAUAUUCUGUCAGAUCCUACUGAGGAUAUUGUUUCUGUGGAUCAUUUUUCCACAGGUGCCUCUUACCCUUCUCAGAGAUCUGUAAUUCCUCCCCUUCAUUCCAGAAAUGAGGUGGUUCCUGAUGCUAUGGCUACUUUUCCAGUGGAGGCCCCAGCUUCCCCUCUGGCUCUGUCUGUUGACAAAGGCUCCUCUAUCAGUGACCUAGCCUCCUGUAGUCCUUCUGACUCCUCACAUGUGGCUGCCUCUUCAUUGUCUCCUUCAGCUUCUGUCAUUCUCAAAGCUUCUGGUGCUACUCAGCAACCUUUGCUGGCCCAGACUCCUGCUGCUUCUUCAGGGAGUACAGGCUUGAAAGAAGCUCCUGUUUCUUCUGUUGGAAACACCCCACCUGUAAUGACUAACCCCUCUGCAAUUUCUACAACACCCAUUACCUUUGAGGUAGCUUAUGUCUCUCCAGUUUCAUCAGAUCUCAUAAGCAGUAAGGACUCAGGUUCCCAAACUGCCUUGAUUAUGGCGCCUGUGGCUCCCAAAGAGCUUCCUACUCUUCAAGUAACCACCACUCUAGGGAUACCAGUCUCUCCACCUAUGUCAGCCCCUGAGCACCCAAAAAGUGUCCCCAUUUCACCAUCUCUGACAGCUCCUAAAAAUCUCCCCUCUUUGCAGAAUACAUCAUCUUCUCUGGAGAUAGCUCUUUCUCCUGAAGCCACUUUAGAAAAGAAAAGCUUUGUAGAGCCUCUCCCAGUAGUAAAGACAGCCAGUACUGCUCCCUCCUCUCUGGGUGUUAACUCCCCAACCUCUAUAAUCAAGACAGAUUCUUAUUCAAGCCCAGACCCAACUAGUCUGCUUCUCAAAAGUUCGCUCACUACCCCAGCUGUAGCUACAUUUCCUUUGGAAGGUGCUGCCUCUGAGGAGAUGGCCCCUACAACUGUCCAUGUUACCUCCACUCCUGCACCUACGGCCAGCACUUUUCUAGAAGGGGUUGUCUCUUUAGCUCUUAAAAGCCACCCAGCCAAGCAGGGUACUUCCACUCUUAAUACUUUACCAUUGAUCCCUCCAACCUCUGAAAGUUGCCCUGUGACUUUAUCUCCCCAUAGUGUUUCUGCUUCUCCAGAUACUAUGGCACAGGUCCCUGAAAUUCCCAAGUCUGAGUCCUUUCUCCCUCUUCCUCCAGCUGGUACUCUUCAAGGUACAAAGAAAGUUCAUAGUAUUUCUCAGUUGGCACCUGUGGCUUCCUCUCCUGAAGGGUACCCAGCUGAGGACUCUAGUACUUCUGUUACUGUGUCUUCCAAAGGAACUUACCUAGCUGACUCUCCAUCUCCUUCAGGGACUAGUGUGUCUCCUCAAACUAAAAGAUCUCCAACCAAGAAGGGUUCAGCUGCUUCUACCCUAAGUGUUACUCCUUCUGUUUCUAAAAGUGUACCUGCUAUCCCUGAUAAUGCUGCUGGAAAUCUAUCGUUUCCUAUUUCUCCAGUUGAGGCUUCCUCUCUUCCAGAAGCCAAUCUUCCCUUUCCUGUCCCUGAAGGAUCAUUAGCCAAGAAGCAUACCCCUACUCCUCCAUCUUCAAAAGGAGCCCCAGAUAACCCAUCCCCCAAAGACACUCCCAAUUCCCCACGUGUGGCUCCUCCUUCCCCUAGAGGGGAGCUGGCAACCCCAUCUCCUAAAGAGAUCCCCACUCCUCCAGGUAUGGCUCCUUCCUCCCCCAAAGGAAGCCCAGCAACUCCAUCUCCCAAAAAGGCCCCCACUCCCUCAGUUGUGGCUCCUCCCUCUCCCAAAGGUGGGCCAACAAGCCCACCCCAAGACACCCCUGCUCCUCCAGCUAUGACUCCUUCCUCCCCCAAAGGAGCCACAGCUGCCCCACCUCCUAAAGGAGCCGCUACUUCCCCCAAAGGGAGCCCAGCAACUCCAUCUCCCAAAAGAGCCUCAGCUACCCCAUCUCCCAAAGGGGACCCUCCUGCCUCAGUUGUGGCUCCUCCUUCACCCAAAGGGAACCCAGCAACUCAAUCUCCCAAAAGAGACCCUACUCCCCCAGCUGUGGCUCCUCCCUCUCCAAAAGGGGGCCCAGCGACUCCAUCUCCCAAAAAAGCUCCAGCUACCCCACCACCUAAAAGAGACCCCACUCCUCCAGCUGUGGCUCCUCCCUCUCCAAAAGGGGGCCCAGUGACUCCAUCUCCCAAAAAAGCUCCAGCUACCCCACCACCUAAAAGAGACCCCACUCCUCCAGCAGUGGCUCCUCCAUCUCCAAAAGGGGGCCCAGUGACUCCAUCUCCCAAAAAAGCUCCAGCUACCGCACCUCCUAAACAAGAUCCCACUGCCCCAGCUGUGGCUCCUCUUUCCCCCAAAGGGGCCCCACUCCCCCAGCUAUGGCUCCUCCCUCUGCAAAAGGGGGCCCAGUGGCUCCAGCUUCCCCACCUCCUAAAAGAGAUCCCACUCCUCCAGCAGUGGUUCCUCCCUCUCCAAAAGGGGGCCCAGCAACUCAAUCUCCCAAAAAAGCUCCAGCUUCCCCACCUCCUAAAAGAGGUCCCACUCCUCCAGCAGUGGUUCCUCCCUCUCCAAAAGGGGCCCAGCAACUCAAUCUCCCAAAAAAGCUCCAGCUUCCCCACCUCCUAAAAGAGAUCCCACUCCUCCAGCAGUGGUUCCUCCCUCUCCAAAAGGGGGCCCAGCGACUCCAUCUCCCAAAAAAGCUCCAGCUACCCCACCUCCUAAAAGAGACCCCACUCCUCCAGCUGUGGCUCCUCCCUCACCCAAAGCAGUCCCAGCAACUCCACUCAAAGGAGCUUCCACUCCCCCAGAUGUGGCUCCUCCCUCUCCAAAAGGGGGCUCAGCAACUCCAUCUCCCAAAAAAGCUCCAGCUAUCCCCCCUCCUAAAAGAGACCCCACUCCCCUGGCUGUGGCUCCUCCCUCUCCAAAAGGGGGCCCAGCAACUCCAUCUCCCAAAAAAGCUUCAGCUCCCCCACCUAAAAGAGACCCCACUCCUCCAACUAUGGCUUCUCCUCCAAAAGGGGCCCCAGUGACUCCAUCUCCUAAAAAAACUCCAGCUACCCCACCUCCUAAAAGAGACCCCACUGCCCCGGCUGUGGCUCCUCCCUCUCCCAAAGAGGCCCCAGCAACUCCACUCAGAGGAGCCUCCACUCCCCCAGAUGUGGCUCCUCCCUCUCCAAAAGGGGGCCCAGCAACUCCAUCUCCCAAAAAAGCUUCAGCUACCCGCCCUCCUAAAAGAGACUCCACUUCCCUGGCUGUGGCUCCUCCCUCACCCAAAGAGGCCCCAGCAACUCCACUCAGAGGAGCCUCCACUCCCCUAGAUGUGGCUCCUUCCUCUCCAAAAGGGGGCCCAGCAACUCCAUCUCCCAAAAGAGCCCCAGCUAUCCCACCUCCCAAAGGAGACCUUAUUCCCCUAUCUGUGGCCCUUCCCUCCCCCAAAACAGCUUCAACAUCUCUUUCCCCCAAAGAGGCCCCCAUUCCCUCAGCUGUGGCUCCUUCCUCCCCCAAGAGAGCCUCAGCAAGCCCAACCUCCAAAGGAGCCCCAGCUACCCCAUUCCCCAAAAGGGGCCCAGCCACUUCAUCCUCCAAGGGGGCUCCCAUUCCCCCAGCUAUGACUCCUCCCUCCCCCAAAGAGGCCCCUACUUCCCCAGUUUCAGUCACAUGUCCCUUGGGGUCCACUGCUCCUCAGGCAUCUAAAGAACUCCCAGUAAAGAAAGGCCUAACAACUCUCAAAGCAGUACUUGAUGCCCCGGCUCCAGAAGGUACACCAGUCACCGCAGCUCCCGUUCAGAAAGGUCCACCAGCCAAGAAGAGUUCUGCUAUUUCACCUAUGGGCCCAGAUCCCUCAGCUCAUAAUGGCACUAAAGGACCCCUUUCUGCAGUGGCUCCAGCUCCUCUACUGACAGCCUCUACUCAGAAAGGUUCCUCUCCAAAGACUACAAAAGCCCUUCCUAUUUCUCCCUUAAAAGGCAAAGAUUCUUUCCAUUCCCCAAGGGGCCCUAUGGCUCUUCCUUCUGAAUCUGCAACAUUGACCCCUUCAGCAACAACUGCCUUCUCCGAGAAGGUCCUUCCUAAAGCUGGAUCAGCAUGUGACUCUCCAGCACCUAUCCCAUCAGUGUCUCCGCCUCUUGCUCCCUCCCCAGCUCCCCCUCUGCUUCCUAAACAGCAAUUUCCGAUGUCCUCACCUGGGCUGGUGCUGGAAUCACCCUGUAAGCCCUCAGCCCCCGCUGAUGAGGAUGAGCUGCCGCCUCUGAUCCCCCCGGAACCAAUCUUGGGGGGAGUGCCUUUCCAGCCGGUCCUCGUCAACAUGCCCACUCCCAAACCUGCUGGGAUCCCUGCCCCACCCCCCUCUGCCAAGCAGCCUGUUCUGAAGAACAAUAAGGGGUCUGGAACAGAAUCUGACAGCGAUGAAUCAGUACCAGAGCUUGAAGAACAGGAUUCUACACAGGCAACUACACAACAAGCCCAACUGGCAGCAGCAGCUGAAAUUGAUGAAGAACCAGUCAGUAAAGCAAAACAGAGCCGGAGUGAAAAGAAGGCCCGGAAGGCUAUGUCCAAACUGGGUCUUCGGCAGGUUACAGGGGUUACUAGAGUUACUAUCCGGAAAUCUAAGAAUAUCCUUUUUGUCAUCACGAAACCAGAUGUCUACAAGAGCCCAGCUUCAGAUACCUACAUAGUUUUUGGGGAAGCCAAGAUCGAGGACUUAUCUCAGCAAGCACAGUUAGCCGCUGCUGAGAAAUUCAAAGUUCAAGGUGAAGCUGUCUCAAACAUUCAAGAAAACACACAGACUCCAACUGUACAAGAGGAGAGUGAAGAGGAAGAGGUUGAUGAAACAGGUGUGGAAGUUAAGGACAUAGAAUUGGUCAUGUCACAAGCAAAUGUGUCGAGAGCAAAGGCAGUCCGAGCCCUGAAGAACAACAGUAAUGAUAUUGUAAAUGCUAUUAUGGAAUUAACAAUGUAACCAUCUGAAAAGAGGACCCUUUUUUUGGUGUUUCAAAAGAGUAAUAACUGCAGCUUGGUUUGAAAUUUGUACUGUUUCUAUCAUUAAUAAAGUUAUGGCUUCUUGUUGGAUGAA
Non-coding RNA from Sus scrofa (pig), 6547 nucleotides. NCBI's taxonomy places the organism in Eukaryota, Metazoa, Chordata, Mammalia, Artiodactyla, Suidae. The record is from RefSeq and is a predicted model, not a curated record.